This 301-nucleotide ribosomal RNA is filed under the name uncultured bacterium. RNAcentral describes it as "partial 16S ribosomal RNA". It matches the Rfam family "Bacterial small subunit ribosomal RNA", at positions 509 to 807 of the family's 1533-position model. The record is from RNAcentral.
CAGUCGCCGCGGUAAUGCAGAGGGUGCGAGCGUUAAUCGGAUUUACUGGGCGUAAAGCGUGCGUAGGCGGCUUCUUAAGUCGGAUGUGAAAUCCCUGAGCUUAACUUAGGAAUUGCAUUCGAUACUGGGAAGCUAGAGUAUGGGAGAGGAUGGUAGAAUUCCAGGUGUAGCGGUGAAAUGCGUAGAGAUCUGGAGGAAUACCGAUGGCGAAGGCAGCCAUCUGGCCUAAUACUGACGCUGAGGUACGAAAGCAUGGGGAGCAAACAGGAUUAGAUACCCCCGUAGUCCCUGUCUCUUAUAC